This is a long non-coding RNA of Daphnia carinata, 356 nucleotides long. RefSeq lists it as uncharacterized. The transcript is spliced from 2 exons. The record is from RefSeq and is a predicted model, not a curated record. NCBI's taxonomy places the organism in Eukaryota, Metazoa, Arthropoda, Branchiopoda, Diplostraca, Daphniidae.
CAGGAUUCCCAUACAGGGAACUCAAGUACCAAUACCGAUGUAAAAAUUUGAGAAAAAUCUUCUUUCCUUUCGUCUUCUUUCCUCCUUGUGUCGAAAACCCUAGAAACCAUCGUCCUUCCUGCACGCAACACAUUCAAAUUUGGAAUUCCCGCAGCUAACAUAUCCGAUGCCUGGUGAUAUUUAGUCUUGGUCUUCAGAUUAUUAUAUUUCACUAAAAAAAAUGGCAGCGACGUCACUUGCCCUUAAACAUCUGAACACAGGACGGCGGGGUUGGUUUUUCCAAGGCUUGCUUUCGGUAUUCCGUGUUCUUCGUGAUGUUGUUUCUCAUCAACUUGCAUACAUAUGUGCCUUCUCUC